Long non-coding RNA from Canis lupus familiaris (dog), 589 nucleotides. RefSeq lists it as uncharacterized. The transcript is spliced from 5 exons. The record is from RefSeq and is a predicted model, not a curated record. Lineage: Eukaryota; Metazoa; Chordata; Mammalia; Carnivora; Canidae.
CAUACGCUCCCUUGCCCACCCACCUUGAUUUAUAACAAACAGAAGCUUCAGUAGUACUUCUUAAUCUUUUAGAUUGCUGGUAGUGGUAUAUUUACUGCUGUUUAGUCCACUGGGAAGAAUGAACGUUUAAAAAUUUCUAUUUACACUUACAACUGGAAUCAGCCUGCUUUCCUAAAACCCCUUGGGACAGGGAUUUUACACCUGUCAAGGAGCUCAUUGACUGCUAAAGAAUGGAGAUGAAGUCGGAGGAAGUCUGAAAGAUGAAGUCUUUCUACUGCAAAUGCUCAGCCUUUGAAAGGCAUGAAAAGAGAAGCAUCUUUUGAUAACCAACCUCCUCCAUUUUCUGGAUGCAAUUUCAUUUCCUUACAGAAUCUAAAUAAGAGUAAGUGAAGAGAUAGGAAAAAGGCAAUUCUGGUGAAAAAGGGACAACCAAAUAAACAACUAUAAAAAUAAGAAUGGAGGAAGCAGGAAUAGGAGUCUAUAGCAAGAUUCGGAAAACCUGAAAUAUGAGCCAUCUACCAAAACAUUUAAAAACAAUCCCUUGAAGGCCACAUUGAACAGCAGUAAACCAAUGUUGUUCUGGAGAAAU